CGCGUAGGCGGCCCGUUUUGUCAGGCGUGAAAGCCCUGGGCUCAACCUGGGAACUGCGCUUGGGACGGAUGGGCUAGAGAUCGGGAGAGGAGAGUGGAAUUCCCAGUGUAGAGGUGAAAUUCGUAGAUAUUGGGAAGAACACCGGUGGCGAAGGCGGCUCUCUGGACCGAUACUGACGCUGAGGCGCGAAAGCGUGGGGAGCAAACAGGAUUAGAUACCCUGGUAGUCCACGCUGUAAACGAUGUGUGCUAGACGUUGGGGAGCCUAGCUCUUCGGUGUCGCAGCUAACGCGGUAAGCACACCGCCUGGGGAGUACGGCCGCAAGGUUAAA
Molecule: ribosomal RNA, 331 nt
Filed under: uncultured bacterium
Lineage: Bacteria
Description: bacterial SSU rRNA
Rfam family: Bacterial small subunit ribosomal RNA
Source: RNAcentral